GAAAUGCGAUAAGUAGUGUGAAUUGCAGAAUUUAGUGAAUCAUCGAAUCUUUGAACGCACAUUGCGCCCCUUGGUACUCCGAGGGGCAUGCCUGUUCGAGCGUCAUUACACCCUCAAGCCCUGCUUGGUGUUGGGCGUCUGUCCCCGGUUUCCGGGGACUCGCCUCAAAAACAUUGGGAACUAUCGAAGCUGGCCCGGAUUUAGGCAGUACAUGCAGGUAAACCUUGCCAGCACCGCGGUAGCUCUCCCACCAAUCACCCCCCAGUUUGACCUCGGAUCAGGUAGGGAUACCCGCUGAACUUAA
RNAcentral lists this unclassified non-coding RNA (304 nucleotides) under uncultured Ascomycota. Its description in RNAcentral is "sequence contains ITS1". The stretch from base 1 to 105 matches the Rfam family "5.8S ribosomal RNA", at positions 50 to 154 of the family's 154-position model. Lineage: Eukaryota; Fungi; Ascomycota. The record is from RNAcentral.